Molecule: long non-coding RNA, 1196 nt
Filed under: Cyanistes caeruleus (blue tit)
Lineage: Eukaryota; Metazoa; Chordata; Aves; Passeriformes; Paridae
Description: lncRNA (ENSCCEG00000016469.1)
Source: RNAcentral
GUUGUGUAAAAGCUCAGCCAGCUUGCUGUGUCCAGUGGCUUCUCGCCAGGGCUGGUAGCACCAGCUGCUCUGGUACUUGCAGCCCUUGCUGCAGUGCAGUACCUGCAGAAAUUAAACUCUGAGCUCUCUUUGUUAGGGCUUGGCUGCUGCUCUGUGACAGAGUUAAACUCCUUCACCAGCUCUUUUAGUUGCUCUAAUCACAAUUAGGUUUGGACUUGGGCAUUUCUCUUACUGGGAUACCCUCGUUAUCCAGCAUGUCCUGCUGCUGGUGGCAUUUGAUCAGAGCUGGCUGCUGCAAACGUGCUUCCUGCCUCUGCCAAGCUGCAGGAAACCAGAGGGAAGAACCAGAGAAGAGAAACUGAGUACAGCAAGUACCUGUCUGGCCACCAAUCUCCUUUUCCCUGCAGUUUUCUUAGGUGCAUGACAGAUGUUUACCCACAAAGAUUGAUGAGGAUGCUUAUUUAGAAAGAUUUGAUUUGGCACUUGAACCACAUCCAUAAUUGGGAACAUUUUGGAGGAUAAGUUGAUGAAUAGGCCCAUUUGUAUAACCAGGUAGGCUGAAAAGUAGUUUUAAGGUGCAGAAGAUUCAUCUAGGAGGAACUACAAAUAUAAGAAAUAGCUAUUUGAGCUAGAGAAUGGUGUUGAUGAGAAAACAUUAAAUCAUGUAAAAACUGUCUCUGGAUAAAUUUAGACUGGAAUUUGAAAACUUACUAUUAUAUCAAGGUUUAAAUUGAAUGUUGGCUGGCUUUUUUGACAAAACUGAAUUUUUUCAAAAGUUGGGUGAAAUCAGUCCAAGACAAGAAAGUUCAUGUGACACCAAGGAACAGGCUGCUAUUCUUUGAAGCAAGUCCUCCAAAACUUGCAAGACUGUCUCAAGACUCAGUGGGAGACGCUGUUAAAGACAAAAUUUUAAAGAGUAGUACAUAAAUCAACACUGAUAUUUCCAGUAUCCCUAUGAUUUAAUCAAAUUAUGUCUGUGUUGAGACAAACACUGCUUCCUCUAUAGUUCUGUGAUCUUUGAUACAUUUUUAUUUAAAUGUAUUCUACUGGAUAAAAACUAUAUCUUUUCAAAAUUACAAACCACAACCUGAUGUUUACUGAGCUUCCUUCCCACCCCAAGGAAGUUUUGGAAGGCACAGUUUUGUAAAUGUCAACCAUUUCAGAGUAUCUCAGUUUCGCAUUUUCAUACUGGAAAA